GACGAACGCUGGCGGCGUGCCUAAUACAUGCAAGUUGAGCGCUGAAGGUUGGUACUUGUACCGACUGGAUGAGCAGCGAACGGGUGAGUAACGCGUGGGGAAUCUGCCUUUGAGCGGGGGACAACAUUUGGAAACGAAUGCUAAUACCGCAUAAAAACUUUAAACACAAGUUUUAAGUUUGAAAGAUGCAAUUGCAUCACUCAAAGAUGAUCCCGCGUUGUAUUAGCUAGUUGGUGAGGUAAAGGCUCACCAAGGCGAUGAUACAUAGCCGACCUGAGAGGGUGAUCGGCCACAUUGGGACUGAGACACGGCCCAAACUCCUACGGGAGGCAGCAGUAGGGAAUCUUCGGCAAUGGACGAAAGUCUGACCGAGCAACGCCGCGUGAGUGAAGAAGGUUCUCGGAUCGUAAAACUCUGUUGGUAGAGAAGAACGUUGGUGAGAGUGGAAAGCUCAUCAAGUGACGGUAACUACCCAGAAAGGGACGGCUAACUACGUG
RNAcentral lists this ribosomal RNA (497 nucleotides) under uncultured bacterium. RNAcentral's name for it is "partial 16S ribosomal RNA". It matches the Rfam family "Bacterial small subunit ribosomal RNA", at positions 28 to 507 of the family's 1533-position model. The record is from RNAcentral.